RNAcentral lists this ribosomal RNA (378 nucleotides) under uncultured organism. RNAcentral describes it as "bacterial SSU rRNA". It matches the Rfam family "Bacterial small subunit ribosomal RNA", at positions 526 to 896 of the family's 1533-position model. The record is from RNAcentral.
CGUAGGGGGCAAGCGUUGUCCGGACUUACUGGGCGUAAAGCGUGUGCAGGCGGGCCGCUAUGUGCCGUGCGAAAGCUCCCAGCUUAUCUGGGAGAGGUCGCGGUAGACAGGCAGCCUGGAGGCUCGGAGAGGUCAGUGGAAUUCUCGGUGUAGUGGUGAAAUGCGUAGAUAUCGAGAGGAACACCAGUGGCGCAAGCGGCUGACUGGCCGAGACCUGACGCUGAGACACGACGGCGUGGGGAGCAAACCGGAUUAGAUACCCGGGUAGUCCACGCAGUAAACGAUGCAUACCCGGUGUUGGGCGGUCUGUCAAAGGACCGCGCAGUGCCCCAGCUUACGCGAUGAGUAUGCCGCCUGGGGACUACGAGCGCAAGCUUA